Molecule: RNA transcript, 1796 nt
Organism: Helianthus annuus (common sunflower)
Lineage: Eukaryota; Viridiplantae; Streptophyta; Magnoliopsida; Asterales; Asteraceae
Exons: 4
Source: RefSeq, a predicted model, not a curated record
UUCAAAAAGCUUAGCCAAACAUGCCCUAAGUCAUAAAUUGCUCCAAAAUAUCUUACCGUCACUUCCAUUCUGUUCUAUCACUUUUGCCUGUAUGCGCAUCUGUAAGCAGUUCAUCCGCUCGUCUGAAACAUUGGAUACGUCGAUCCAUACAGAACAUAUCGGUUAAAGCCAUGAUAAAACUCUUUGAUGCUCAUUGUCACCUACAAGACCCGAGAAUCUUCAAUAAGGCCCCGAAGCUCAUCAAGACAGCUCUAGAAAACGGCAUACAUCAUUUUGCGGUCAACGGGGUCUGCGAGAACGAUUGGCACUUGGUGAAGGAGAUGAGUGACACCUAUCCUUGUAUAAUCCCGUCAUUCGGGCUCCACCCAUGGUACAUCACAGACCGAACCCCCAACUGGCUGACAUCUUUACGUGAACUCUUUGACGCAAACCCUUCGGCUGCAGUAGGAGAGAUCGGUUUGGACAAAGGGUCACAUGGAAAGACGAUUGAUUUCACCGAUCAGGUUCAAACCUUCCUGUUGCAGCUUCAACUUGCUAAAGAACUGAAACGGCCCGCUUCUGUGCACUGUGUGCGUGCUUUUGGUGAUCUUCUCGACAUAAUGAAAUCUCUCGGGCCGUUUCCGGAAGGUGUAAUCUUGCACUCGUACUUAGGUUCUGCAGAGAUGGUUCCUGAGUUUGCUAAACUCGGAGCGUAUUUUUCGUUCUCGGGGUUUCUUAUGGCGAUGAAAGAAACCAAGGCUAAGAAGAUGCUGAAAGCUGUACCUUCUGAUAGGAUUUUACUGGAGACCGAUGCACCAGAUGCGGUACCGAAACCGAACAGUUCAGAGUCCAUUUUUUUGGUGGAAGGAGAUGAGAAUAAUGGAGACCCGAAGGAGAUGCUUAAUCAUCCGGCUAAUAUCCAGUUUGUGCUUUCUUAUGUUGCGUCUUUGCUUGAGCUCUCUAAAGAAGAAGUCGCAGAUGUAAGCUACAAAAAUGCAGUGCGCUUGUUUUCUUAUGAAGGAUCUAAACUACAACAAGGAAGCUAUUUUCCCACUGUGUUUAUGCACUAUUCCCCUUUCCUUCCUCAAUAUUCAUAUUGGCGAACACUAUUGACAUCUGUUCCACGAUUAUGGCAUCAAGUUUCAGCUGCUCCCUCUGCCAUCCAACUUUAGCAUCCGUCGCUUUCGCCGAUUUUAUUUAUGUUCGUUUGUGUUCGUGAAUCGUUUCUCGUUUGUGAACACGUUUAUUUUCUUAACGAACGAACACAAACAUAAAAAUUCGUAUUCGUUCGGUAGGUGUUCAUGAACUAUUCGUAAACACGUUUAUUUCCUUAACGAACGAACAAGAACAAGGUCUUGUUUGUGUCCGUUCAGUUCGUUUACAGCCCUACCGGUAUUUGAAGGUAAAAGCCAGUAAUACUGGUACGUGUACAUGCUCAUCCCUUUUACUGGUUUAGUGGAUUAAAUAAUAAUUCUAUAUUCUUGGUAUAUGUGUAGUUUAGACCUAGGGCAUGUUUGGCUAAGCUUUUUGAAACAACUUAUUGACUUAUUGGCUUUUUGAAAAGUCAUAAGCUCUAAAAUGAUGUUUGGCAAUGAAGGUGUAUGUGAGGGGAAAAAGCCAAUUUUUACAAGCUAAGGUAGUGAUUCACCGAAAAGAGAUAAAAACGAGUAAUGAACUCGGGAACGUAUAGAAUGGGACUUCAUAGUUUAUACUUGUACAACAUCUUCAUUGUAAAUUGUCAUCUAAACUGUUUCAAAUGAGUUUCCGCUAUGCUAUAUAGCUAUAAGUUAUUAAUUUUUUUUGGUAGUUUACAUAAA